Molecule: ribosomal RNA, 253 nt
Filed under: uncultured bacterium
Lineage: Bacteria
Description: partial 16S ribosomal RNA
Rfam family: Bacterial small subunit ribosomal RNA
Source: RNAcentral
UACGUAGGGUGCAAGCGUUGUCCGGAAUUAUUGGGCGUAAAGAGCUCGUAGGCGGUUUGUCGCGUCUGCUGUGAAAUCCGGAGGCUCAACCUCCGGCCUGCAGUGGGUACGGGCAGACUAGAGUGCGGUAGGGGAGAUUGGAAUUCCUGGUGUAGCGGUGGAAUGCGCAGAUAUCAGGAGGAACACCGAUGGCGAAGGCAGAUCUCUGGGCCGUAACUGACGCUGAGGUGCGAAAGCGUGGGGAGCAAACAGG